Long non-coding RNA from Mirounga angustirostris (Northern elephant seal), 269 nucleotides. RefSeq lists it as uncharacterized. The record is from RefSeq and is a predicted model, not a curated record. The transcript is spliced from 2 exons. Lineage: Eukaryota; Metazoa; Chordata; Mammalia; Carnivora; Phocidae.
UCUGGAGGAUGGUGAUGGUGCGAGAAGCAGGGAGCUGGGUUCUCUGCUCAAUCCCGGCUCUUGUCUGGGAGCGCUGUCCCAGGCCUGGUGAUAUCAGGAGGUGACAGAUACCAGCAAACGAGGUGCCAGCACUUCAAGCAGCUGCUACCAAUCAAUACGACAUACCACGAAGAAUGGGCCGUAUCUGCCACCUGCGUGGGGUUUCCUCUGGUACCAUCAGGAAUAUCACAUACCUGUUUCUCAAAGGCGGUGGGGACCAAGCGUCGCAA